GACGAACGCUGGCGGCGUGCUUAACACAUGCAAGUCGAACGGAAAGGCCCUGCCUUUGUGGGGUGCUCGAGUGGCGAACGGGUGAGUAACACGUGAGUAACCUGCCCUUGACUUUGGGAUAACUUCAGGAAACUGGGGCUAAUACCGGAUAGGAGCUCCUGCGGCAUGGUGGGGGUCGGAAAGUUUCGGCGGUUGGGGAUGGACUCGCGGCUUAUCAGCUUGUUGGUGGGGUAGUGGCUUACCAAGGCUUUGACGGGUAGCCGGCCUGAGAGGGUGACCGGCCACAUUGGGACUGAGAUACGGCCCAGACUCCUACGGGAGGCAGCAGUGGGGAAUAUUGCACAAUGGGCGGAAGCCUGAUGCAGCAACGCCGCGUGCGGGAUGACGGCCUUCGGGUUGUAAACCUCUUUCGCCUGGGACGAAGCGAGAGUGACGGUAAUGGGUAAAGAAGCACCGGCUAACUACGUG
RNAcentral lists this ribosomal RNA (468 nucleotides) under uncultured bacterium. RNAcentral describes it as "partial 16S ribosomal RNA". It matches the Rfam family "Bacterial small subunit ribosomal RNA", at positions 28 to 507 of the family's 1533-position model. The record is from RNAcentral.